UGGAUUUAUUGAUGGCAUAAAGUAGUAAGUCUUCUCUCCUGUAUUGCUGUUAAAAUUGUUUCAUAAUUUGAUACUUGUUCUUAGCAAUUCAGUUAGAUUACUAGUAGCACUCAAUGUGGAAUAUAAAAUAAACCUUUGUCAUUCAAAUGCACCCACUUACUGCUCUGUAGCUCAUAGACUUUCCAAGAUGCAGAUUGAAUAUUUUAAAUGCCAGCAGCCCUUGAAAGUCAUUAAUUCUCCUGUACAAUAUCUCUCUUGCAGGGACUAUUAUGUUGUCCAUAGACAUAGACUUGAGGAUCUUCUAAAGGUGAAGGAGUUGUCAAUGUCAGCACGAAGCAGAAGUUGCCCUGUGAAGUAGCAGAAAGCUCUCCUGUUGAUAUUGGGAACAUUUGCUAAAGUGACAGCAAAAUAUGCCGAGUCUAGGCUGUUGUAUCCACAUUGCUCUGCAAUGACUUCAUGGUCAAGCUUCCCUCUUUCUGUGUGGAGUAAGAAAUACUGCAUGUCCUGCCUACUUAAGAGCUGCCUAGGGGCUUUAGUAAUUUAUUGUCUCAAAGCUCACGAGCCAUUUCAUUGGAAGGGAUUGACCAUCUAUGGAUCUUGACGUCUUUUUAUGCAGUAACAUACUAUGUCAAGUUGGUUUUUUUUUUUUUUUUUUUAAUGGAGAUAUCCCAUCUCCUAGAACUGGAAGGGACCUUGAAAGGUCAUCGAGUCCAGCCCCCUGCCUUCACUAGCAGGACCAAGUACUGAUUUUGCCCCAGAUCCCCAAGUGGCCCCCUCAAGGAUUGAACUCACAACCCUGGGUUUAGCAGGCCAAUGCUCAAACCACUGAGCUAUCCCUCCCCCCAUUAUGUUCUUGUGUCCAUAAUGGCUGUAUUCACCCCCUGCAAGCUGGGUUCAACCCACUGCUGUAAUGUGGAAGAUUAUGAUGUACUAAAAAUCAUUAAAAGUACUGAGGUAACUUCUUAAAUGGAUUGAAGUGUGUGCUUCUGUAUAUGAAUGGGAAGGUGGUGUGGUUAAGCAGAGCCUGGGUCUCUAGACAUCAGGAUUCAAAUCUGAGCUGUGCUAAGCAGAUUUCCUGUUGGAUCUUAGCCAAGUCAUUUGAUCUCCCGGCCUCAGCACCCCAUGUGUAAAAUGGGGAUUGUUUCCCUAUGUUGUGAAGAAAAAUCCAUUUGUGUUUGAGGUGCUCAAAUACCACAGUCAUGGAGAUGACAAAUACCUCGAUAGCCUGUUCUAGACAUGGGUGAAUGCAGACCCCAGGCAUAAGGUGAUGCCAGUAUCUUGAGAAGCUUUUAAAUGGUUAAAUUGGGGAAAAUACCCAACUAUCAGCUUGUUUUCAGACAAAUAAAACUACCCCUCAAUCAUCCUCCUUUGAG
This 1373-nucleotide long non-coding RNA is filed under the name Chrysemys picta bellii (western painted turtle). RNAcentral describes it as "lncRNA (ENSCPBG00000026729.1)". The record is from RNAcentral. Lineage: Eukaryota; Metazoa; Chordata; Testudines; Emydidae.